GCAUUGGUAGGCUAGUGGUAGAGCUCAAGGCUGCGACGCGGGAGGGCGGGGUUCGUACCCCAGGCAGUGCC
This 71-nucleotide transfer RNA is filed under the name Anguilla anguilla (European eel). Its description in RNAcentral is "tRNA-OTHER". The record is from RNAcentral. Lineage: Eukaryota; Metazoa; Chordata; Actinopteri; Anguilliformes; Anguillidae.